CCAAGGAGAUUACAUGGUAUUUUCAAUUACCUAUGUUAUAUCAAAGAAGGUAUGAAUAGUAAAUGUACGACUGAUGAGCUGUCACAUGUUCUUUUAAACUAUUUUUACAUUUUUUAGAAUAAUGCAAAGACGAUGUAGGUUACUCUUGGUGACAUGCAUCAACCAUAUAUUUGUCCCACCACAAGACGGCCAAAGAAGAAGGAAGCUCAUAGGUUGGUGUGUCAUCCACUUCAUAUGGUUGGAGGGAUAAAUAACGGAUUUGGAACAAGAUAAGAGAAAUAUGCUAUGAUGGAGAAAAUUGAAGGAAAUGUGGGGUUACACAUUGUGUUGAAUGAGUGAAGAUACAAGUUUAUGUUUCUAUAGUUCAAAUAUUUAUUGGUUUGCUUUUUGGAUAAUUUGGUUGUUUCAUGUAUUACGUUUGUACAAGUUGAUAUUU
Helianthus annuus (common sunflower) is the source of this 436-nucleotide long non-coding RNA. RefSeq lists it as uncharacterized. The transcript has 2 exons. The record is from RefSeq and is a predicted model, not a curated record. Lineage: Eukaryota; Viridiplantae; Streptophyta; Magnoliopsida; Asterales; Asteraceae.